UACGUAGGGGGCGAGCGUUAUCCGGAAUCACUGGGCGUAAAGGGUGCGUAGGCGGCCAAUAAAGUCAGGGGUGAAAGGCUACGGCUUAACCGUAGUAAGCCUUUGAAACUUAUUGGCUUGAGUGCAGGAGAGGAGAGUGGAAUUCCUAGUGUAGCGGUGAAAUGCGUAGAUAUUAGGAGGAACACCAGUGGCGAAGGCGACUCUCUGGACUGUAACUGACGCUGAGGCACGAAAGCGUGGGGAGCGAACAGG
RNAcentral lists this ribosomal RNA (252 nucleotides) under uncultured bacterium. RNAcentral describes it as "partial 16S ribosomal RNA". It matches the Rfam family "Bacterial small subunit ribosomal RNA", at positions 524 to 776 of the family's 1533-position model. The record is from RNAcentral.